RNAcentral lists this ribosomal RNA (429 nucleotides) under Gemmatimonadota bacterium. Its description in RNAcentral is "Gemmatimonadetes bacterium partial 16S ribosomal RNA". It matches the Rfam family "Bacterial small subunit ribosomal RNA", at positions 355 to 776 of the family's 1533-position model. The record is from RNAcentral. Lineage: Bacteria; Pseudomonadati; Gemmatimonadota.
UAGGGAAUCUUCGGCAAUGGACGAAAGUCUGACCGAGCAACGCCGCGUGAGUGAAGAAGGUUUUCGGAUCGUAAAACUCUGUUGUUAGAGAAGAACAAGGACGUUAGUAACUGAACGUCCCCUGACGGUAUCUAACCAGAAAGCCACGGCUAACUACGUGCCAGCAGCCGCGGUAAUACGUAGGUGGCAAGCGUUGUCCGGAUUUAUUGGGCGUAAAGCGAGCGCAGGCGGUUUCUUAAGUCUGAUGUGAAAGCCCCCGGCUCAACCGGGGAGGGGCAUUGGAAACUGGGAGACUUGAGUGCAGAAGAGGAGGGUGGAAUUCCAUGUGUAGCGGUGAAAUGCGUAGAUAUAUGGAGGAACACCAGUGGCGAAGGCGGCUCUCUGGUCUGUAACUGACGCUGAGGCUAGAAAGCGUGGGGAGCAAACAGG